AUAUAGCUAUAACUAAAUAUUUUCUUUCAUCUUAACAUUGUCAAUGAUCUAUGUAAAAUAUCAUCAUGAUCAGAUGAAGCCUUCCAGGCAAACAAGUUAGCCUAUAUAUUAUUCCAUAUAGCAAAUACAGUUGUAUGAAAAUCAGACAUAUACCCAAACAUAAGUAUGCCAUAUUUUGUCUAUCUGGUUUUGACAUUGUGAUCAACGUCUGAAUUGAAAAAUAAUGUAACAAAUUUCAAUGUAUCAUUCAUAAUAACAUCAAUUACUUAUAUAUCAUAUCGAUGUCAACUACAGAUAAACAAUAAUUGUUUGAAAUGUAAUUAGCA
This 326-nucleotide long non-coding RNA is filed under the name Mytilus galloprovincialis (Mediterranean mussel). Lineage: Eukaryota; Metazoa; Mollusca; Bivalvia; Mytilida; Mytilidae. The record is from RNAcentral.